CUCCCUGUCCUUAUCAGCAAAGACCUUAUGUGAGCAGACCCUCUGCUUAUCAAAAUCCAGCCCACCUUCUGACAUCUGCCUUCACGCUGCCUCCUGUGACUGCGCAGGCCAAAGUGGCCCCUUCCGUUCUGUAGGCAACUACAGGAUGCCUAACGUACAUCAUAUCCAGGUGUUAUUAACUCCACAGGUGGUACUAGUGUCUUCAGUCUGGUAAAGUUAAUUACAUUUUUAUAAAAACAUCUUACAUCCUGGGGGCACCUGGGUGGCUCAGCUGGUUGGGCGUCCAACUUCAGCUCAGGUCAUGAACUCACAGUUUGGCAGCUUGAGCCCUGCAUCGGGCUCUGGUGGUGCGGGGCCUGCUUGGGAUUCUCUCUCCCUCUCUUUGCCCCUUCCCCACCUGCACAUACUCUCUCUCUCUCCUCUCUCUCUCUCUCAAAAUAAAUAAAUAAACUUAAAAAAAAAAAAACAUCGCAUCCUAAGAUUAUAAAUUGGUGAAAAGCAAGAACUGAUAGUACCCAGCACAUGUAUGAAAUUCAUAAAACGGACUCGCUGAUGAAUGUGUUAAGCGAAAAGAAUCCAUCACAAAUAGAAGAACACUCCUCUCAUGUACACCAAACGCCUGUACUCUCAUUCAUCUUCAGAAAGAGUAUUUCCAGCCUUAAAACGAAGUGAAAGUAGUUUCCACCUACUUCCCUCUAAAAUUAUCCCCGACCAGUAUAAAGAAUGAGAAACAAAACACAAACUCCAUUUUCCAGGAAACUACGAGAUAUCUGCAAACCUGAACCAAAAUAAGAGCUCAGAAGCUGGAUGAAGGCAUUUUAAAUGGUUUAGCUCUGGAAGCAGCCAGCAUGCACAGGGGGGACUGGGAUGAGGUGCUGAGAGGAAAACAGUGUGGGAUAGACAAGUAGCCAUUCUGUGCAACUUUUUCCACCAAAUCAGCCCCCAAACCUUGGCUAGCCUUACAACUUAUUUUGAAGAACACAACGUGACAGAAGUGAUGAGACUCAGUUCCACACUUACACCUCUGGAGAGAGACUGCAGCCCCCACGCUCACCCCCGCUGAAUGCAGGAAAGAGCCCAGCCCAGCCCUACCGGAAGACAGAAGACUACACAGAACAAGGAGGAGGGUAGAGCCAUUCAGUCCGGCUGAGGCUCCCCAGGCCAGCCAGUCUGCCAACUGUCAGACCCGUGUCAGGGGCCAUCCUAAUCAACCUCCCCACAGAACGGUGACAAAUUAGAAAUCAUCACUGUUUUAAAACACUCAGUGUGGGAGUAAUUUGCCUUUAACAAAGGUUAAAAGACAUUCGGGAUGAGGUGAAGCUCUGGAAAAGGAAGGGGGUGGGGCUCCCCCUGCAACUUCACUUCCUCUUCCUCGGAUGAGAAAGUUAGGACAAGAAACUGCAUCUGUGAAACAAGAACAAGAUGCUAUUAAAAAGAGCUCUUGGAAAUUAUAAUUCAUAUUUACAUAACAGAAAAUCUUAAACUCAGUAAAAAUACUGGAAUAUAAAGUCCAAGAAAUCUUCCAGAAGGCAAGAUAAAGAGAUAAACAAUAGGCUCAAUGUGUAUAUAAUAGAACAAAAAAAAGGGAUCAAUUUUAAGAGAUCCAAUAUCUGACUAACAGUUGCACAGGUUUUUUUUUUCCCCCUUAAAUGAAAGAAAAAAUCUUCAGAGAAAUAAAUUAGAAGAAAAUUCCCCCAAACUAAAGACUGUAAGUUUACACAGUCAAAUGUUUCACAACGAAUUGGGGGGGUGGGGGUUGGGGGGGGGGGACAAGUGACGGUGAAACUUCAGAACACUAGGGAUAAAGAAGAAAUCUUAAAACCUUCAGGGGAUAGAAGGGGAGAACAAAGGGACAGGAAUAAGACUACUAUUUGACUUCUCAACAGUGACACUGGAAGACAGGAGACAGUGAAGAAAUGCCUUCAAAAUCCUAAGGGGAGAAUAUUUAUAACUUGGAAGACUUAUACCCAGUCAGACAGCAAUCAAGUAUGAAGAUAGAAUCAAGAUUUUAUCAGACUUUCAAAGUCAGAAAAUACCUAUUCCCGUGCUUCCUUUCUCAGAAAGCUCCUGGGGAUGUUCCUUAACAAACUGGGGGAAUAAACCAAGAAAAAAGAAAACACGGGAUCUAGGAAACAGAAGAUUAAAAAAAAAGUAAAAAGAAAGAAAAGCAAUUAAAGAAUUCCUGGAAGGGCAGCUAUGUAGUACAGCCAGUAAUGAGUGCACCAGGACAGACAGGAGCAGGGAGACGAAAGGCUCCGUGAAGGAGAUUUCUGCAAAAAGAAAUUUAUAAAAUGUAUGAUACGUAUGUGCAAAUGUUUCUGAAAACUUUGUGAGACCUGCUGGAAAGUGAGAACAACCAGCCAUUGUUUCCAAAAAGAUGAAGCCAAUGAAACUGUGAAGCAACUAUUAACUUGAAGAAAAACAAAAGAUGUCUUAGAAUAUACUGUACUCUACACAGGAAAUGCACCUACACUACUUACUCAACACUAAAUAUUUACAUAAUCUUAACAGUAAAAACAUUAAGGAUUUAACCAAGAAUUGUAAUAGAUUAUCCUGAUAGAAAGCGGAAGAUUUAAGAAAGCAGAGUCAUCCACCUCAAAAGUAAGCCAACAGACAGUAUCCAAAAUUGGACAUGAAGAUAGCAGUUUCUAAAUGAUGAUGGGAAAAACCUGAGAAUCAGUUACAGUUGAAACGUGCUCGUCUCUGGGAACCGAAACAGCAGGCAUUGAUGGGAAGAAGGCAGGUGGGGCUACAUCGUUUCUACUACAGGCUUUGUUAGCACACUUUUUUUGAAAUUUAUUUUUGUUUGUUAAGUUUGUUUAUUUAUUUUGAGAGAAAGACCAUGCACAGGAGGGCAGAGAGAGUGGGGGGGAAAGGGAGAGAAUCCCAAGCAGGCUCUGCACUGUCAUAGGCGCCCCAUUUUUUAGCAUGCUUUUAAAGUUACAAAUGUGUUACACAUCAUGUAUCUCACUUUUAUAGAAAUUCAGUAAUUUAGGGCGCCUGGGUGGCUCAAUGGGGUAAGCGGCUGAUCUUGAUUUUGGCUCAGGUCAUGAUCUCACAGCUGUGAGAUCAAGCCCCACGUUGGGCUCCAUGCUGCUGGUGUGGAGCCUACUUGGGAUUUACUCCCUCUUUCUGUCUCUGUCUCUGUCUCUGUCUCUCUCUCUCUCCCCCUCUCUUUGCUCCUCCCCACCUCACACAUCUAUGUGCAUGCACUCUCUCUCAAAAUAAAUAAAUAAAAACCUUUUUAAAAAAUUCAAUAAUUUUACAUGAAUGGACAGGUUUCUCCCUGAUACUGACCAACCCCCAUCACUUAAGUGAUGGCCGAACUAUCCCUACAUCCUUGAACAGUCAUCCACAGCACUAAGUUCCCCCCACUCCACCACCAGGGUGAUGUCUCAGCUUUCAAUAACCCUCCACUUUCCUUUUGCUGCCAUCAAGAAAGACUCACCUUCCAUAAACUUCAAGAUUGUUUCAACUAAUCUAAAAACGCGUUGGUCCUCUCUGACCCCCACUUUCCCUUACCCCAUCGUGUUUACAAGGAUCAAACCGAAUACACAACGUGCUGGGCACAUUAACAAAGGUUUGAAAGGCAACUGUCUUACACCAAGUGACAUAAUUAUGCAAUUCCUACUCUCAAUUCCCUCCCAGUUACAGAAAACUAUACACCAGGAAUCCUCUGUUCAAAAUCACAGCAGAACCAAACACAAAUUACCCCCCGGGACAACAAUACUUGGUACGGUGACGUCGGAGUAAAGGAAGAAAACCAGCCCCACUGCCACCACCUCAAUGGGCAAAGCUGAAAUACUCAAGCAUUACCUAGCACCUGACUAAGACGAAAAGCAGCAACAGUUAAAAUUAAGCCAGAACAGAGCCAUCCCAUCGUGUUAGCUUUUCAGCUUGUAACAAACCGAAAGCAGGCAAGGUGAAUGAACACCUGUACCUUGAAGAUGACACGGAACAUCAUAUUCGAUCUCAUCGUGUCUCGACGGGCUCAAGAACAGAGUUCCGUCCACCAGCGGGAACUGUUCGAACACCGGGAGCGCCCGGUGGCACAGAGCACAGUUCACGACAUUCCUGUGGCUGGCGCUGAGGGCCGCGAGAAUGAACUUGCGCAGAUCCUCGCCCUGGCCCAUCUGGGCAUCGUCUUCCAUCCGCACGUGGAAAGUGUUCAACUUAUGCCGGGGGAUGUGAGUGAGCAGUUCGGACAAGUCCAGCCGCCGCAGGAACUGCACGGGCGCGUCGAAGUGGCCCCCCCUGUGCACGGAUAACCCAGCCGGACUAUACUCGAAGUGGGUGUUUCGGAACACGUGGCCCCCGGCCAUGGCCUUCUUGUGAGGCUCCAGAUGGAUGGCAUUCUUCAAGAAUUCCCCGAGGUACCUGGAGGAGCGGGGGCCGCUGAAGUGGGCAGGGGAGAGGAUGGAGUAGCCGGUGGGCGGGGACUGGCCAGGGGAGCCGCAGGGAGAGCGGGCCCCGUAGGCUGCGGCGCCGACUGCCUUCUCCUGGGAGUUCUGCCGGUCCAUGGAGUGCCGCCGCGGGAGGUCAUGGCUCAGGCCUUUCUGGGGCUUGUUCGGCGGCCUGCACUUUUUUGCUUCCUCCCCUGCUUCGCCGGGGGGCCUCCCCGUGUUCUUCUCCGACACGGACUUCUUCUUUUUCUCAUCCUGCAUCCGCUUCACCUGGUACCAGUCUGUGUCCUUCUUUAAGUGGCCCUGCCCGCAGCGGCAGGAGCAGAAGCGGAAGGCCAGGUCGUAGCCCUUCUUUGUCCACAUGUUUUGGCGGCACUGCUUCUCGUUCCAGCUGCGGGCCCGGCCGAUGCAGUUGAACUGGACGAGGAUGCUGCUCUCCCACUCGUAGAAACACUGCAGGUGCAUCCAGGUGCUGGAGGGGCAGUGCUCGUUGUUGCACACCACCUUCUGGUAGUCGUCCUUGUCCAGGUCCACCGGCCUGCCAAAGCUGCAGAUCAGGGGCGUGGCACAAGGGGCUUCUGGGAAGAAACAGAGACAGAGAGAGAGAGGAGGGGAGAGAGAGAGAGAGGUUCAGCACGCAGGAGCUGGAAUCCCAGCUGGCACCUGGUCAGAGAGCAAAGCUACCAUCCCCACCUUAGCCCAUUCAUGCCAACAGUGCAAUUUUCUGGUGUCAAGAUUUCCUCUGCUGGAAUAACACCAGACAGGAUUAGACAACACGUACUACUCUCUUCUGGUGUUUUGCUGGGCCGAGGGAAUUUAUUUUCAGAUGUUUGUUAUCUGCUGAAAAACACACCAGUAAGCUUCAGAAAGUCCAAAUCCUUCACAGUGCAAUUAGCCGUAUGUCAAUACUUACAACGGUAUAGUGUAGUACGAGGUUUUCCUAAGAUGUGAGUGUAAUGACAGGCAGUUCCAAGGUUCUUUUAAAAAAGGAAUCACUCUAAUGAACUAGGAAAUCAUAUGAUGAAGCCACUUAGCCAACUAGUUCAGGUGAUAGCUCCUAAAGGGCCCGCAAAGCCCUUUUUCACAAACUUUAGGUUAUCCUGAAUAUC
RNAcentral lists this long non-coding RNA (5512 nucleotides) under Lynx pardinus (Iberian lynx). The record is from RNAcentral. Lineage: Eukaryota; Metazoa; Chordata; Mammalia; Carnivora; Felidae.